This is a long non-coding RNA of Passer domesticus (house sparrow), 824 nucleotides long. RefSeq lists it as uncharacterized. NCBI's taxonomy places the organism in Eukaryota, Metazoa, Chordata, Aves, Passeriformes, Passeridae. The transcript is spliced from 2 exons. The record is from RefSeq and is a predicted model, not a curated record.
UAAAGCAGAACACUGCCCGUGCCCCAACCCCAUAUCCUUUAUUUUUGGGGUUUCUACAUGAGAAUUAUCUGCCUAGGCUGGAUAAAAUCUUCAAAAGGCUCUGCGGGGCCCGGUGGGGCCCGGGCUGUCCCGCUGCCAGAAGGGGCAGCGCCGGGCUCGGCCCCAGCGCCCAUCCCGGAGCAGCUCCUCCCGCCCGCGGCCAGCCCGCUCCCAUCCCAGCGCCAAUCCCGCCCCGGCACCCAGCGGGCCCGAAGGCCCGGUUCGGCCCGGGGCUCUGAGCGAUGGGUCCGGCCCCUUCCGGGCAGGGCGGGGCUCCGUGAGGCGGGGCCGAGGUCAUUUAAUCCCCGGAAAUCGCCUCAGCCGCCAUUUGCUCACUUAGCGCAGGGCGAGGGGCCGCGGUCCUUGUGCGUGCUCCGCCGAGCACAGGAGAUGGAGUCGGAAAGAGCGACGAGAAUCAUCAAGUCAAACAGUGAAUAAGUGAUUGAUCCAUGUGGGGAUCGAAUUCAGAAUCUUGGCCUUGUCAGCACCCUGCUCCAAGCACCUGAGUCAAUCUCAGGCUCAUGGGGAAGGUCCUGCCCGGGAUGGCAAUGGCUGCUGCCAGCAAGGGAAAUCCUAUGCAAACGUAGCUCCUUCUUUCAGGCUAGUGCUGCUUUACACACCAGCUCCUAGACUGGCUCUAGAGCAGAACUGACUGGUACCUGACAUGACAGCACAAAACUCUUCCAGUAAUGCUAGUUUCCCGCCCUUUCCAGGAUUUACCCAACCGCUGUAAAUGGUACUCAUUCCAUGUCCAUUUCCAGGGAGAAAUGAGCAGGAAAAGUCCU